RNAcentral lists this long non-coding RNA (2411 nucleotides) under Nicotiana benthamiana. RNAcentral describes it as "long non-coding RNA (NBEN_LNC023014)". The record is from RNAcentral. Lineage: Eukaryota; Viridiplantae; Streptophyta; Magnoliopsida; Solanales; Solanaceae.
CUUGGUCGACAAUUUUGGCUAAUAAAUUAAAGUCAAGGGCCAUUAUUGACAACAAAUUGUCAACCAGCUAAUCAGCUAUAGUACAUUAGUCUAUUCGGGUUGUACCCUAUAACUCGAAGUCCAAUCUCAACAAUGUACCAAUGGACGGUAAAAAAGCCGUUGAAUCUAAAUCCUAGUUUGGAACAGUAAUCUAAACAACGACCAAAAAGGAAAAGGAAAAGUAGCUGUCCUUUUCUGGUUAAGUUUCAAAAUCUGAUAUUUUCACUUGCGUUAAAGUACAGACAAAUACCUAAUUCUGUACAUAUAAUAAUAAUACUACAUUAAUUAACGGGCAUCAACGGGCUGAAGGAAGAUUCAGAUUAGCUUAUUCUUUUCUAGUUUGAUCUGUAAGUUAUAUGACUUUACAUUUUAUUUUGAUAUAUUCUGCUAUCUAUGGGAGUUUAGGGAAAGAGACGAUAAUAUUCUUGUGUUGUUUUUGUUUAUUUGGGCUAAUUGAUAGAAAAUUUGAGCUAAAAAUUUGUUUUUGCAAAGUGGAUUUCUGUUAUAUCUUGUUGGAUAUUCGUUGAUCGAUUGAUUAAUUGAGGUGUACUGUUCACUUGUUUUUUUGUGGUAAUUUAGGUUUUCUUGAGGUCUAACAGAAGUUUGGUUUUUUCUUUUUGUUCCUCUUUCAGUUUUACAGGCUAUAGAUUUGCAUUGAUAGGGGGAAAAUAUCAAGAAUGUAAUCUAUAAAGGUACUAAUUUAGAAUCAGUAAACGGUUUAGUAUUGGUUUCGUAUUUUUGUAUCUUCUUAUCCGCAGAUUUCUUUUACUAUAUGUUGUUUCUUUCCCUUCAGUUAUUCUAUCAUCUUAUUUUGCUUGCUAUCGUUGCGGUUUGUUUUUCCGUUUCUUUUUCGUUUUUCUUUGAGACAGGAGUUUAUCAAAAACAAUCUCUUUAUUUUUGUUGGGUAGGGGUAAAAUCUGCAUACACUCUACCCUCCCCGGCCCCCCUUUGUGGGUUUACGAGCGCGUUGUUGUUGUUGGUUCUUUUGUACUUGUAUUGUCUUUGUGUUUUUAAUUAGGUAAAGCAUAUUAUAGCUGAAAUAAGAAAAAACCUUGAAUUUAAGGUGUAAAUAAAGUAGAAACAACAACAACAACCACUCAGUAUAAUCUCACAAGUGGGCUCUCGGGAGGGUAGGAUGUAGAGAUUGGUUCCAAUAGACCCUCGGCUAAAGAAGGUGAAAGAAACCUGAUAGCAAGAAAUAUCAAGACAAAUAAUUAGAAAACUAAAUCGAAGAUAGCAACAGAGAAUAUGAAAGGGGUACCGAUAGCAAGUAAUAGCAAGAUAAUAUAUUUAGAAUCCUAAAUCCAAGGCAGCGAACGAGAACACGAACGAAGUAAUGUUAGCAAACUAUGGAAUUACCAAUGGCAAGUAAGACAGGCGAAUGUAGCAAACUAAGGAAAAAAAGAGUACCGUACUAGCACUAAAUACUAUCAAACUAGAGAAGACAAAGGUAAAUGCAUGAUUACCUAUUAACUUUCUAUCCUAAUCUUCAACCUCCACGCCCUUCUAUCCAGGGUCAUGUCCUUGGUUAGCUCAAGUUGCGCCAUGUCCCGCCUGAAACCCCUCUCCCCAAGACUUUUUUGGCCUACCUCUACCCCUCCUCUACCUCCCAAGUCCAACCUCUCACAUCUCCUGGGGCAUCUGUGCUUCUCCUCUUAACAUGCCCGAACCAUCUCAGCCUUCUCCUCUUAAAAAGAUCUCUUUUUGUGUUACUUUACUCUCAGCUAGUUUUCUUUCCAGAACAGUUCUAAGUGGAUUCUUACAAAAAUUGUAAUAAUAGAAUUAGCUGUGCUGAAUCGAUGACCUUGUUAUGUAACACCUGCGGUUUCUUGUAUCUGCAUAUUUAAGGAAAUAUUUCCAAAUUUGACAGAAUGGAGUAUGAAUUAUUGAUGUUAAAAUGAUGGUUACCUACUUUGUUCUGCAGGUUGUGCAAAUAAUAGUCUUUUAUCAAACCUCAAAUCAGCUUGUCAGUAUUCGGUGGACAUGAUCUAUGUUCAAGUAAGAUACUUGUGGGAAAAAAAUAAUUAGGAACUGUAAUCCUUUUUCUCUCUUUUUUACUUUUGGUUAGGAGAUAUUUAAUUGAUUGAGAUUUCUAUUAGACCAUAAGUUGCAUUCUAUUUGUUAUCUGUUAUUGCUAGUUGUGGUUGUGGAGCCAAGAAUACAUAAUAUGUUCUUACAAGAUAAGGAAAAAAAUGCAACUGCAUAUGUAGCUUAUGAAUAUCUAAAGAAAAAUAGAAAUGAUAAUAAAUGGAAAUAAGUUCUGGGGCUAAGAGGCUAAGAGGCGCUUUUGGGAGGGAUUGGAUGAUCUGGUGAGUAGUAUUCCCCAAUCUGAGAAGUUAGUUAUUGGAGGGGACUUUAAUGGUCAUAUUGGG